GGAGAAGGGGCGUUUUUUCCAGAAUACCGGAAGGAUUAAUUUUCUCCUUCCCUUUCUCCAGGGUUGACAUAUUUUUUUAUGCGUGGAACAUACCUGCAGAAGGAGCAGUCCCCGCAUGGGGCUGAUCCACGAUAUCUCUCAGCUUUUCUGCCACAUUUGGCUCCUUCUUCCAUGAGCUCGAUUGUAUGCUUUCCUCAGAGAUCUUUUGGGGUAACCCCUUUUACUGAACCUUUGAAGCAGUUGUUGACUCUCCCGAGAAAAAGGAGGCUUCAUCCGAACAGUUACGACGUGCUCUCAGAUAUUGUCCUAUGGGAAUCCCUUUCUUAAGGGGAACUGGAUGCCAACUGUCCCAAUGCAGGGUUUCCAGGGCUUCUUGUUCCUGGGUGUUCAGAUUUGGUUCGAUAUGUUCCUUCCUCAUCUGCAAUAAUUUGAUGUCCUGUGUGACCAGCUGUACAAAGGUCUCUAUUUCAUUAAAUUGUGUGAAUUGUGGUGUGGUUCUAGAUCUAGGUUUCAAGGUCGAGA
Bufo gargarizans (Asiatic toad) is the source of this 522-nucleotide long non-coding RNA. RefSeq lists it as uncharacterized. NCBI's taxonomy places the organism in Eukaryota, Metazoa, Chordata, Amphibia, Anura, Bufonidae. The record is from RefSeq and is a predicted model, not a curated record. The transcript has 4 exons.